RNAcentral lists this ribosomal RNA (253 nucleotides) under uncultured bacterium. RNAcentral's name for it is "partial 16S ribosomal RNA". It matches the Rfam family "Bacterial small subunit ribosomal RNA", at positions 524 to 776 of the family's 1533-position model. The record is from RNAcentral.
UACGGGGGGGGCAAGCGUUGUUCGGAAUUACUGGGCGUAAAGCGCACGUAGGCGGCGCCGUAAGUCAGGGGUGAAAUCCCGGAGCUCAACUCCGGAACUGCCCUUGAAACUGCAGUGCUAGAAUCUUGGAGAGGCGAGUGGAAUUCCGAGUGUAGAGGUGAAAUUCGUAGAUAUUCGGAAGAACACCAGUGGCGAAGGCGACUCGCUGGACAAGUAUUGACGCUGAGGUGCGAAAGCGUGGGGAGCAAACAGG